CUGGGUGUCUUCCAUCCUCCAGCACACUAGCUGGAGCUGUUCUCGUGGUGAGAGCAGAAGUACAGGAGAAAGCAAGCCCCAAGAGCAAGCCUGUUAUAAGUCUCAGCUUGUGUCAGACUUUUGAUUGAGUGUCAAGGAGCAGGGUAUGCUAUGUUGCCCACAGUGAGAAGGCACUACAAAAACAAAACAAAACAAAACAAAACAAAACAAAACAAAACAAAACAAAAACUAUGGAAAAGGAUAUGGAUAUAAGGGUAGAUGCAGAAUUUGGGCCAUUUUUGCAAUCUAUCACACAGGCUGACUAAGCAUUCUAAAGAGCCCAUGUAGAAGGCAGCCGUACAUGAGGUGAAAACCAUUGCAUGAAAUGUCUGCUUCCAUUUCAACAACACCAUCUUCACUUAGACUCAGUCUCCUUUUGAAAAUACAAAAACACAAUUUUGAAAAUUUUGAGGUCCAGUGUGCAAAUUCCAGCCCCAUGUCUUGUAUUUCUGGGAUUACUUCAACUAAAAAAAAAAAAAAACUAUCGUGAUGUCUAUUUUGUUAAGAUAGACAAAAUAAUAAAAGACUAAAAAUAAUAUCCAAAGUUUCUAAUGCAUAAUAAGCACUUGACAAAUUAUAAAUGCUCUGCUUGUUAUUAGUAGAAAAUUCACUAUUUGUAUUAUGAAAUAUAACCAUCAGUCAGUGUGAUCUGUGGCCACAAGCAUAAAAUUAUGCAACCACAAUUGCAUAAGAUUGAAUUCAUAAGACUGAAUCUCCAAAAUUAUUACUAUUCAAAGUAAAAACACCUUUUACCUCCACAUGUAAAGUUACUCUACGGUAGUCAUGAUGGCUUGAGUAUCCAGACUUUUCUUUUCUUUUUUUUUAAAAAAAGUUGAGCUUUUAUAUGUAUAUCUUCAAGUUUUUGUCACUGUUUCGAUAUAAAAAGGGAUUGAUGAUACUCUUAAAGGUUGUCUGUCUUUUUUGCUUUAGCAUAAAUAAAAUUGGCUCAAAAUUCAGACUGCAUUGUGGGAAAGCAUGGAGUGAUAUUUCUGUUCUAAUCUCCAGUACCCGCACCAAGGACUAA
Molecule: long non-coding RNA, 1063 nt
Filed under: Felis catus (domestic cat)
Lineage: Eukaryota; Metazoa; Chordata; Mammalia; Carnivora; Felidae
Description: lncRNA (ENSFCAG00000049982.1)
Source: RNAcentral